GACGAACGCUGGCGGCGUGCUUAACACAUGCAAGUCGAACGGAAAGGCCCUGCUUUUGUGUGGUGCUCGAGUGGCGAACGGGUGAGUAACACGUGAGUAACCUGCCCUUGACUUUGUGAUAACUUCAGGAAACUGCGGCUAAUACCGGAUAGGAGCUCCUGCUGCAUGUUGGGGGUUGGAAAGUUUCGGCUGUUGGGGAUGGACUCGCGGCUUAUCAGCUUGUUGGUGUGGUAGUGGCUUACCAAGGCUUUGACGGGUAGCCUGCAUGAGAGGGUGACCGGGCACAUUGGGACUGAGGUACGGACCAGACUGCUACGGGAGGCAGCAGUGGGGAAUAUUGCACAAUGGGGGGAAGCCUGAUGCAGCAACGCCGCGUGCGGGAUGACGGCCUUCGGGUUGUAAACCGCUUUCGCCUGUGAUGAAGCGUGAGUGACGGUAAUGGGUAAAGAAGCACCGGCUAACUACGUG
Molecule: ribosomal RNA, 468 nt
Filed under: uncultured bacterium
Lineage: Bacteria
Description: partial 16S ribosomal RNA
Rfam family: Bacterial small subunit ribosomal RNA
Source: RNAcentral